RNAcentral lists this ribosomal RNA (430 nucleotides) under uncultured bacterium. RNAcentral describes it as "bacterial SSU rRNA". It matches the Rfam family "Bacterial small subunit ribosomal RNA", at positions 917 to 1350 of the family's 1533-position model. The record is from RNAcentral.
GGGCCCGCACAAGCGGUGGAGCAUGUGGUUUAAUUCGAUGAUACGCGAGGAACCUUACCAGGGCUUAAAUGUAAGUUGCAUAGAUCAGAGAUGGUCUUUUCUUCGGACUACUUACAAGGUGCUGCAUGGUUGUCGUCAGCUCGUGCCGUGAGGUGUCAGGUUAAGUCCUAUAACGAGCGCAACCCCUGUCGUUAGUUGCCAGCAAGUUAAGUUGGGCACUCUAGCGAGACUGCCAGUGCAAACUGUGAGGAAGGUGGGGAUGACGUCAAAUCAUCACGGCCCUUACGUCCUGGGCUACACACGUGCUACAAUGGCCGGUACAGAGAGCAGCCACUACGCGAGUAGGAGCGAAUCUAUAAAACCGGUCUCAGUUCGGAUCGCAGUCUGCAACUCGACUGCGUGAAGCUGGAAUCGCUAGUAAUCGGAUAUC